RNAcentral lists this non-coding RNA (45 nucleotides) under Schistosoma margrebowiei. The record is from RNAcentral. Lineage: Eukaryota; Metazoa; Platyhelminthes; Trematoda; Strigeidida; Schistosomatidae.
ACUCAGUAGUCGAGUCCCAAAUAGGAUGAAACGCGCGUCCUGGCU